CGGGAUCAAGGCCCGUCGAUCUAG
RNAcentral lists this transfer RNA (24 nucleotides) under Gehyra sp. MPH-2011. RNAcentral describes it as "partial tRNA-Asn". The record is from RNAcentral. Lineage: Eukaryota; Metazoa; Chordata; Lepidosauria; Squamata; Gekkonidae.